Molecule: ribosomal RNA, 253 nt
Filed under: uncultured bacterium
Lineage: Bacteria
Description: partial 16S ribosomal RNA
Rfam family: Bacterial small subunit ribosomal RNA
Source: RNAcentral
UACGGAGGGGGCUAGCGUUGUUCGGAAUUACUGGGCGUAAAGCGCACGUAGGCGGCUUUGCAAGUUAGAGGUGAAAGCCCGGGGCUCAACUCCGGAACUGCCUUUAAAACUGCAUCGCUAGAAUUGUGGAGAGGUAAGUGGAAUUCCGAGUGUAGAGGUGAAAUUCGUAGAUAUUCGGAAGAACACCGAUGGCGAAGGCAGCUCGCUGGGACGUGACUGACGCUGAGACGCGAAAGCGUGGGGAGCAAACAGG